CUUGUGAAACCUAAAAGUUCGAAAAGAGAGAUUCAACGUCAGUAUGUACUGUAUUCACGUGAGUAGUGAUGCGUGCACAUUUUCAUGUUAUUUUAUUGCAGUACUAUUACCGGCGUGCACUUCUCUCUUAGUAGGACGUCCCGACCCGUUAAACCUUGGCCUACGGCACAGACUUUGAUAUUUUAAUUAAUGUCAAAGACCUCUGUUGUCAAAGACCUCUGUUGUGUUCUCCUGGCUAAAGUGUUUGACGGGGUGUCCAGCCGCAUAAUUUUUUUUAUGCGUCCAUGCGUCCGGCCAGUCGCAAGUUUUUGAUAUACCUUAUUUAUCAUAGACUCUGUGCUAUGUGAUAGGACUGUGCUUUAGGACUGGCUUACUUCACCUGUCUGGGACGCUUAGGCUUUGGGUACUCACAAGACCCGUCUUGAAACACGGACCAAGGAGUCUAACAUGUAUGCGAGUCAUUGGGUAUAUAUUUUCCAAACCUAAAGGCGUAAUGAAAGUAAAGGUUGAA
RNAcentral lists this ribosomal RNA (511 nucleotides) under Agathis sp. H7432. RNAcentral's name for it is "eukaryotic LSU rRNA". It matches the Rfam family "Eukaryotic large subunit ribosomal RNA", at positions 386 to 736 of the family's 3401-position model. The record is from RNAcentral. Lineage: Eukaryota; Metazoa; Arthropoda; Insecta; Hymenoptera; Braconidae.